AUUGAACGCUGGCGGCAUGCUUUACACAUGCAAGUCGAACGGUAACAGGCCGCAAGGUGCUGACGAGUGGCGAACGGGUGAGUAAUGCAUCGGAACGUGCCCAGUCGUGGGGGAUAACUACUCGAAAGAGUAGCUAAUACCGCAUACGAUCUAUGGAUGAAAGCGGGGGACCGUAAGGCCUCGCGCGAUUGGAGCGGCCGAUGUCAGAUUAGGUAGUUGGUGGGGUAAAGGCUCACCAAGCCAACGAUCUGUAGCUGGCCUGAGAGGACAACCAGCCACACUGGGACUGGGACACGGCCCCGACUCCUAAGGGGGGCAGCAGUGGGGAAUUUUGGACAAAGGGCGCAAGCCUGAUCCAGCAAUGCCGCGUGCAGGAAGAAGGCCUUCGGGUUGUAAAAUGCUUUUGUACGGAACGAAACGGCUCUGGUUAAUACCCGGGGCUAAUGACGGCACCGUAAGAAUAAGCACCGGCUAACUACGUG
RNAcentral lists this ribosomal RNA (482 nucleotides) under uncultured bacterium. Its description in RNAcentral is "partial 16S ribosomal RNA". It matches the Rfam family "Bacterial small subunit ribosomal RNA", at positions 30 to 507 of the family's 1533-position model. The record is from RNAcentral.